Molecule: non-coding RNA, 1880 nt
Organism: Ictidomys tridecemlineatus (thirteen-lined ground squirrel)
Lineage: Eukaryota; Metazoa; Chordata; Mammalia; Rodentia; Sciuridae
Source: RefSeq, a predicted model, not a curated record
GUACCUCCCGGAACCAAACCGCUAGGUGGGUGUGGUGGGCAGAGUUUCUGCAAUUUCCCUUGUUAUUCUCGGAUCCUGAGCAGACAGAAAUCUCCUUUUAUUUCUGAACCCCAUCUCGAGGGGCUGAGUUCAUGGUCAGUGGCAAAUGCCACAAGCUGGACUUAGAAGGUGGAAUAUGACCCUGUUGCAGAGCCUUAUACCCUAUACCCUAGUGGCCUGCAUCACCAGGUGACAUCCACCAAACCCAGCACUGUCUUCACCCAAUGGCAUUUUCGCUGACCUAAGUAUUCUGCCCUCCAAGAGUGUGCAAGCUACUCUCUCCUGGACAUAAGGGGGCAAAUGUCUCCAGCUAAUGGCCAAAACCCAGUCAGUUGUGAAAAGAGGAGGAAGAUCCAGAGCCCUUGGGGCUAGGACAGGGGAAGACUCACAACUCUCCUCCCUUUGUGCACUGCCUGGCUCCUGUUGGCAUAGCAGAGAGGGGUGGCCUAGUGAGCACCUGCACAUGUUUGUGCCUGGCCCUGGGGACAGACAUCUACCAGAAUUGCACCCCAUGCUCUGUCUUGCAGCGACAUGCAGGAUACUGAAAUGGUGGAGUGCAGGCCACUCAGAAGGUCUGAAUGAUUUGCGAGGGAGCUAAACUGCCUGUUUGAUGGCCUUGUCUGGAGUCAGAGCACUGCAGGUUGCCAACUGCCUACCCAAGCUCAGGGUGCCCUCCUUCGACCUCACUAACUUUUCCUGUCUAAGAAUCAAUAAUGGCAGGUUUCUUUCCAGGGUUAGUCCAGAUAAUCCUGGUAAGCCCUCCGUAAUAUUCCCAGAUUCAGGUUCCAACUGACCUCACAAGCUUUUCUAGUUUUGUUAGGAACUUUUACAGGAAGCACACCUAUAAUCCCAUUAGCUUAGGAAGCUGAGGCAGGAGAAUUGCAAGUUCAAAGCUAGCAUCAGCUCCUUAGGCCAUAAGCUCCUUAGUGAGGCCAUAAGCAACUUGGCAAGACCUUGUCAAAAAUAAAAAAUAAAAAGGAGUCUGGGGAUGUGGCUCAUUAGUUAAAUGCCUGUGGGUUCAAUCCCCUAUACCAUAACAAGAAAAAAAAUUUUUUGCAGAAUGUCUACUAGUAAGGGGGUUGGUUGGAGAAGCUGUUAUUUGGCUUCAGGAUCCAGUGGGGUUCCCCUUCUUUAAAGACUAUCUUAACCUGCUACCUGACAACACCUCCCACACUCCAGAUACACAAAGAUUUAAAAGCCAAAAACAGGUGUUUGGAGAUGGUAACCAUGGGACCUCAUCUCAUCCUAAAUCCCAAAUUCUGGGGGUACAUUCAGCUUUAGAAAUGAGUCUGAAUCUCAUCCUUCCUCCUAGGGAUGAUGGAGGGUUGUUCUACUACCCCAGAUUCCCCAGGGCACUUAGGACCUCAAGUAUGAUGAAGUGAACUGGGAACAAAAUUCUCUAGCCCAAGGACAAGGCCUUCCACAGCAGGCUGGCCUAACUAUGGCCUGAUGGGUGUCUUUCCUAGGCAAGAGAGUCCGUGAAGGAUAUGGGAAAUGACAACCCCCAAGACACAGGAGGAAGGAGGGGGGAAAGAAGGCAAAACGUGAACAACAAAACCUGACCAAAAAUAUCCUUUCCCAGUGAAAAGACAAUCCCUGGGAAGAGGGCAAACAUUGAUCCUUUAUUUCCCAGUGACAAUGAAGCCACACAUUAAUCCUGUUCCAGUGACAAUAUGAUGACCCUGGAUGAAAAAGAUAAGCACUAAGCCCUCAGGUCACCUCUCGGAGUCACGUAUAAAGACAAAACCUCCUAUAACCUGGAGCCAUUUUCUACCCAGAAAAUGAGCCCCUAUAAUGCCUGACGGAUUGACUCUGCAGCUGAAUAAAUGGCAUCACUGAUC